Molecule: long non-coding RNA, 472 nt
Organism: Panicum virgatum (switchgrass)
Lineage: Eukaryota; Viridiplantae; Streptophyta; Magnoliopsida; Poales; Poaceae
Exons: 2
Source: RefSeq, a predicted model, not a curated record
UCAUGUGCUAAGAUUGUAACAUGAGAUUUUGUAUCUAAUAUGCUAUAAUUCUGAUAUGGCUCAUAUUCUCUAGCUUCUAGCAAGAGGAAGUUAUACAUCUGACUACUCAUUGCUGAUGUACUAAUCUCUGACUCUGAUCUUUCUUUACUUUUGGUGCGCAGGUGCUGUUGCUGGUGGAACCGAAUCCUACAUCCUGGGGCUGCAACAUCCCGUGCAAUGGUGUUCUGUUAGCUUUUGGUAGAACUUCAAAUCAAACUUUGCUGCUGCUGGUUCAUAUUCUUGAUGAAAUCCACCUUUGUUGUUUCUGGUUAACUAUGUGGUCUUGGAAUGUUACUAUUAGUUUUCAUAGAUGGAAAUGUAUGUGAUGGAAAUAUUAUUCAUGUCAAUUUCGGCCUGAAUGGGUUGUGUAUAAAGCUAAAUCUGAAUAACUAAUAAUUAAUUUUGGGCUGAAAUUAGGCCCAACUUAGGGCCC